ACACAAGCCUGUUCUCCCCAGAUCCCCUCCUCGUCCCCGAUUCGAUUCGAUUCCCCGCAUCGGCCGGUACCAAUCCGGCGCCCGCCACCCCACACUCCGCCGAUGUUCCUCCGAUCGCGCCGCCUGUGAUCACCCCGCUCUCUUCUCUCUCGCCAGCUCAGCCAGCCGCCGGUUAGGAUCGGGGCCGGGGGAGCGCGAUGGCCGCGCCGCCGGCUAGGGCCCGCGCCGACUACGACUACCUCAUCAAGCUCCUCCUCAUCGGCGACAGCGGUGUUGGCAAGAGUUGCCUCCUCCUACGGUUCUCUGAUGGCUCCUUCACUACUAGUUUUAUUACUACAAUAGGUAUUGACUUCAAGAUAAGAACAAUUGAACUGGAUGGCAAGCGCAUUAAGUUGCAAAUUUGGGAUACAGCCGGUCAAGAGCGAUUCAGGACUAUCACGACAGCAUACUACCGGGGAGCCAUGGGAAUCUUGCUUGUUUAUGAUGUCACGGAUGAGUCAUCUUUCAACAACAUACGGAACUGGAUACGCAACAUUGAGCAACAUGCCUCUGAUAAUGUGAACAAAAUUUUGAUAGGCAACAAGGCUGAUAUGGAUGAGAGUAAAAGGGCUGUUUCUACUGCAAAGGGACAAGCACUAGCGGAUGAAUAUGGCAUCCAGUUCUUUGAAACUAGUGCCAAGACAAACCUCAAUGUUGAGCAAGUUUUCUUUUCCAUUGCCCGAGAUAUUAAGCAGAGGCUUGCUGAGACUGAUUCCAAGCCCGAGGACCAGACGAUCAAGAUUAACAAGACAGAAGGUUCUGAGAAUCCAGAAUCUCAGAAAUCUGCUUGCUGUGGCUCAUGAGGAAUACGUGGACUUCUACCAUGGGCUGUUUUAACUUUAUCUGUUUAUUACUGUCAGCUUGUUAUUAUAGGAACUGUAAGACUUAAGGAGAUGACUAUGUUGUGGUUGUUGUGUUACCUUCUAUAUUCUUUGCAGCAGCAACUAUUACUUUUAAUGUAGUUUUUGUGAUUUCUAGGGGUGAUUGCAUGUUGUAUUGCCAUCGUGAGAACCAUCCACUUGCUGCUGAUGUAACUGCAUUUCAGUUUUUCAAUCGGUUGGUUGCUACAUCUGCAAAACUCCAUUGAGCUCCAUUUGCGCGUCGUGCUACACUUUAGUUGAAUGCUGCACUAGCCAUGGACAACUUUUUGCUAGGAUGCUUUCCCCGAUGAGCACCCGCCAUCCUUCGGUGGAUAAUGAAUGACCAUAAUUAUUUGAGCAAGCAAAAUCAUUCCUGAGGAAGUUAAUUCGAGCUCCCUUUUCUACAAACAUGCAAACUGCAUGAAUUGCAAAUAU
Molecule: ribosomal RNA, 1334 nt
Filed under: Triticum aestivum (bread wheat)
Lineage: Eukaryota; Viridiplantae; Streptophyta; Magnoliopsida; Poales; Poaceae
Description: partial small subunit ribosomal RNA
Source: RNAcentral